Molecule: transfer-messenger RNA, 420 nt
Filed under: Anaerolineae
Lineage: Bacteria; Bacillati; Chloroflexota
Also listed under: 1 other name
Description: JABWBG01 sp013360575 Standard tmRNA
Rfam family: transfer-messenger RNA
About the family: Bacterial tmRNA, also known as 10Sa RNA or SsrA, is named for its dual tRNA and mRNA-like properties. Its role is to liberate the mRNA from a stalled ribosome.
Source: RNAcentral
GGGGAUGAAAGGCUUCGACGGGGCAGGUUCCGGUCACGGAUCGCAAGCCGAGGCGCCUGACCUCGUAAAAACGGGCACAACCACAAGUGCCAAAAACACUGGCAACGUCUUCAACUUCGGUUUCGCCCGCAGCAAUGCGAUGGCGAUCGCUGCCUAAGCAACCGUUGCUGAGACACUGGUCGCCCGCGAGGUGACCACGGCCCCGGAGUUGGGUCCUGGCGGCAACUCCGGAUCGCUGUCAUAAACCGCAAGGCGCGGCCCGGUCGACGCCGAUACACCGGGUCAAAGGUCAUCGGCUAGCCUGCUCCCAGGGCGAUGUUCCAGGCGCCCGGCAGGCAAAUCUACCACCUGAGAACUAAGCUUGUAGACGUUCGUGGGCGGCUGUCUCGGACCGGGGUUCGAUUCCCCGCAUCUCCACCU